GGGAGGCGGCGCAGGCCGGGAGGUCGGAGGUGGCCGCUGCUCCCCGGACAGGGCUGCUUUCUUCCUCGGGGUGCUGCUGUCCCCUCCCGAGGCAGAAAGACUCACCCCUCUGGCUGCUGUGUGGGGUGGCCUUCGUGGGGAGGGGGUGCCCAUGAGGGAGGGUACAAGCGGGACUUCUGCACCAGGUCAGCAAGAUAUAAUGGCAGCUCAGACUCGGUGGAAAUGAUGAAGAUGUGAGAAGCUGGGGGCCCUUGCACAAGAGGAUUGAUUUCAGAAAACCUCCAUGCUGAAGAAGAUAAUAAUGAGCCCAUCCCCCGGAGGGGUUCAGGGCUUCAAGAAGAACUUGCUGUUUCCUACCCAGGGGAUGUCACCGUGGGCCCUUUAGUGCACCCUGUCCUAAGAGCUCACUCCUGGGAAGGGUGACAAGAGCUGGCGGGGUUGUGAAGGCGUUCUGCCGAGGAAAACAGAAAGAACACUGCUUCCAGCGUUUGGAACUGGCAGCAUGAAUGAAAGAUAUUUUAAGAUUCUUUCCAGCAUGGCAUUGGGCGUAUCCUGAGAGCCAAGGAUGCGCUUCCGCGCCUUCUCCCCAGCCUCACCUUUCGACGAUUCCAAGAGGCAGAUCUGGUCUUCAGCCAGUCUUUUUGCCAAUAAAGAGUGUGCCGGGCCUGUGUGACGACGCCCCAGGCCUAAUUUCACUCUUCUCAUUAUGCUUGAUGUUUCUGUUUUCAUUUGCUGGUUUAUAGUCCUCCCUUUUAUUGCCUCUGUGAUUUUACUUUCUUGUUGUCUGGUGGCAUAAAGGGUUUCUUAGUUUUGUAGUUUCAUGGAAACUUGGGUGGCUCAGCUGGGGGGAAGGAGACCAACAUACAGAUUUAGGAGUUGUUUGGAGAUUCCCAACUUGUGGGGAGGAAAACUCAGGAGGCACGCUGCCAGGUGGGCAUUUGGUUUUUGGAGGAAAUGUGUUUGGGUGACACAGAUUUCUGGAUUUCUUAAAAGGUGAACUACACAGAGUAGGGAUUAACACAGCACAGCUUCUGAGCAGACCACCAGCCCUGAGAGACCUGGAAAUUUAAACUUGGCAUCCAAAU
Long non-coding RNA from Ailuropoda melanoleuca (giant panda), 1085 nucleotides. RefSeq lists it as uncharacterized. NCBI's taxonomy places the organism in Eukaryota, Metazoa, Chordata, Mammalia, Carnivora, Ursidae. The record is from RefSeq and is a predicted model, not a curated record. The transcript is spliced from 3 exons.